UAAAGAGAUGUAGAUGUGGAACCCAGGAGAUGAAUUCACUGAAGAGGCAAUAACUGCGCCCUCCUACCCUGUUGCUUUUCAUUUUUUCUGUAUAAGUAGAAAGGAAUUGACAUAGGUUAUUGUCCCAAAGAUGAAUUCACUGAUGUGGUAACUUUCUAUCUGUCUCUAUGAUUAUUUCUAUGUUCUAAAGCCAGGUGCUUAGGGUUGCUGGAUUAGCUGAUUUUCUGCAGUAUAAUGAUGAAAACAGCAGUUAAAGUAUAUGUAUUCCUCCAACCAUUAUCAUAUGAAUGCUUUUUAUAACAGACCAAUUGUUGACACUUAAAACCUGGUGUUAGAAUCUUGGUUGGAUGGCUGUGUUGUCCAUACAGUAGUCAUUUUGAUUAAUGCUUUGGUGGAGUCAAUUGGAAACAGAGUUGAAUCAGCAACCAUGCCUUGUUUCUAAAUUAGUUCCAUUUCAUGGAUGCUAAUGCUAUAUUUGAGAUUUCUUCUGCAUUGAGAAAUGAUGAGGUUUGAUAUAUCAAUCUGAGCUCUAGAAAGUAGAAUGAAUUCAUGUUGGGGAAAUCCCAAGUGUAACUCCAAGGGUUCAUGUUGUGUGUACUGGCCUUUUAUUCAUUGAAGUUCAAUGGAGAAAUCGAAAUGUUAAAAGAUUGCAUAUCAUUUCUCAACUUUCAUGGGUUGCAUCCCACGUUACGAGCUAUCUAUUUGAAGACUUUAUUAGUUUAACCAAGCUCAGGCCAAGACUAAAUAUGUGUCCUCUUUAAGUAAUUAAUAGUAGUUACUCCGAGAGAAUGAACAGGUACAAAACUGCUGUCUAUCUUAAAUUAAUAGCACGAGUGCAGAGCAAAUGAGAGCUACUUGCUAAGGGAAGUUCUCAAUUAGUUGCAAAGCAUAAGUUGAUCAAUAUGGUCCAUCCAAUCAGUUGGGCAUACUUGGGGACAGACAUUGUUGUCCUCAGUUUGAGUAGCAGAGUAAUGAGUCGAGCUGAAUUUGAAUGUAUUGUAUUUGCUUUGGUAAAAUCAAGAACCGAACCAAGUUCAAAAUUUUCAGAAUACAUAUAUAUAUAUAUAUAUACCAUUCUUGUUUGCUUCAUUAGCUAUAUAUAAUUGAACUCAUGUUUACUCAGCAAUAACUGCUAGCUCUAUAUUAACAGGUUUUUUAUAUUUGAAAGCACUCAUCUUCAUAUGAUCUGCGGAUGCAAAAGGAUUUGGUGGCUUAGUGAGACUGUCUGCUUCACCUUCCAUCAUUUGAAUCACAACUUUCAUUGAAGGACGAUCUACUGGAUACCAUUGAAUGCACCAAAGUCCAACAAUCGUAAGUUUUCUUUCAAUCUCAGAAUGGCUUUCGUUUUCAAUUCUUAUUCCUGUCUCUUCUCCGUUGUCCAAAUGAUUAUACGCCCAUUCUGGGAAGUACACCUGGCUUGUGUUCUCCACUGUGACACCGAUGUUUUUUCUCCCUCCAACCAUUUCAAGUAGUAGCAUUCCGAAACUAUAAACAUCUGAUUUAUAAGAAACGUUCCCAAAGUUCCUAGAUAAGACCUCGGGUGCUAUAUAGCCCAUGGUUCCUCUGGCUGCUGUCAUAGAAACUGCACUUUGAUCCUUGGAACACAACUUAGCUAGACCAAAGUCAGAUAUCUUAGGAUUGAAGUUCUGGUCUAACAAAAUAUUGUGAGGUUUGAUGUCGAAAUGUAGGAUCCGUUGCUCGCAACCUUGAUGUAGGUAUUCAAUCCCUUUGGCUAUACCUAAGGCAAUAUCUUGAAGCUUAUUCCAACCAAGGACAUGAUUCUCACCCUUGGCUGCAAAUAUGAACUUCUCUAAUGACUCAUUCGGCAAGUACUCAUAAACAAGUGCUCUUUUAUAUCCAUCAGCACAAAAUCCGACUAAGCGAGUCACGUUGACAUGGUGGAUUCUGCUCAUGGAACCCACUUCGUUGAUGAACUCUUCCCCAUUGCCAUUGGAGUCAUUGAGGAUCUUAACAGCUACCAAAACAUCAUUAGAAAGCCUUCCUUUGAACACGGUUCCAUAACCACCCUGCCCGAGUUUGUCCUUGAAUUCAUUUGUUAUCCUCUUAAUAUCAGCAAAAGAGUAUCUUGAGGGCUUAAAAGCUUUAUAAUCUUCCAAAAACUUUUCAAUCUUGCUUUGACUCUCUUUCUUUUUCUUGUCCUGAUGGUAUACAUAGUAUAGUCCAAUGACAGUCAGUAGAAUAAGAAACGAAGCUAGGAUUGCACCUGCAGAUAAAAUAUGCUCCAACUUAGUACGUUUCCUCUGAUAGCAACUUAAAUAGAGGAGAACUGCAAUGAAGUUGACAACUCACACAGGCCUUGUGUAAAAUCGUAUGCAAUAACAGAGAGAAACAUUGCAUACCUGUAAUAAUUAGCUUUACCUUUGUAGGAAGCCCUGUAAAAUAAUGGAAGGAAAUGUAUCAGCUUUCUGUGUUCCUAAAUAUAAUUUUAACCAUGACCAAGCGUGUAAAGGCAUGCAAGUUAGUGUUACUAUGGUAUCAGGGGAUGAGGAAGAAAAAAGGAGUUAUAUAUAGUGAGAUUGGUAGGGAACAAUAAAAUUAUGAGUUUUUAACAUUCUAAUCAUAAAUCAAGAGCAGGAUGAUCUUAGCACAAGAGAUUGGACCAAAUAAUUUAAUACUCGGAGUGUGUUAGAAUUCAUAUAAUAUGAGUAAUUAAGGUGUCAGUUUAUGUAAACAUAAAAUAUAAUUAUGAUACAAAAAGAAAUAUAAAUACACAAAUAAAGCAUAGUGAAGCUGUAAAUUAACUGCUGGGUUUUAGAAGUUCCUGUGUUUAAUUCCUGGAAAAGCUUUUUAAAUUUAUUAUGACCUAUUUAACUUUCUUGAUUUAAUAAGAGAGUGAAGUAUAGCCAAAAUUCUUGUAAAAUCAAUUAAGGUUUCUUCAGUAAACAAUGAACUCCACUUUUAACUCACCCAGCCUGGACUCUUAAACGUGUCAAAUUAUUGGUUUAAGUUCAUAAACUAGUAUAUAGUAUAAGGUUAACUAUCACUAAAUAUGUAAUUAUACGUAUAGUAGGUUGCAAAUAAACCAAAAAACAAAUGUAACUUAUUGUUCAGAAUAAAAUGUAAUUGUACUCGCAAAUUAUUCUCAUUGAAGGAGUAACUAGUUGGUUUACAAAUUUGUAGCUUUUCAUUCACUACUGGUUUUAGUUUUUAAAGUUGUAAAAGUAAAUAAUUGAAAACAUAAGUAAGUUGGUAAACUAAUUAUAACAUGCGUAAGUGUAAAGCAGCCAAGAAACAAACAAGACAGUUGAAGUAGAAGGGCAUGUACCUGUUUGGGUGCUGGGUUUGGGGGUGUCAUAACACUCUGUUUGAGGUGGUGUACUAACAUUCUUCAGUCUACAACUUCUUCCUUGUGCUUCACAUUCAAUGCACAAGGGUUUGGACCAUUGUAAGCGAAUACCAAAUUCAAAAUAACGAGGAACUCCUGAGAUGUCAACAAAUUUGGUGCAAUUGACGAGGUUAAAGUUGUUGCGAGUAUCGGAAGGUAAAGCUAUAAUUGGACAGGCAUCGACUCCAUAGCUAUCUUUGUCUGACUUUUCUGAACAAUUGAACAAGGUAAUGUUUUGUAGUUGUUCGAAGAAUAUGAACGGGGAUGCUGAUAAAUUGAGA
This 3627-nucleotide long non-coding RNA is filed under the name Gossypium raimondii (Peruvian cotton). RNAcentral's name for it is "long non-coding RNA (GRAI_LNC004592)". Lineage: Eukaryota; Viridiplantae; Streptophyta; Magnoliopsida; Malvales; Malvaceae. The record is from RNAcentral.